This is a long non-coding RNA of Lolium perenne, 946 nucleotides long. RefSeq lists it as uncharacterized. Lineage: Eukaryota; Viridiplantae; Streptophyta; Magnoliopsida; Poales; Poaceae. The record is from RefSeq and is a predicted model, not a curated record.
GGUACUGUUCAGAUGCACCCGGUAGGAUCUUCGUUAACCUCUGAUCCUUUUGUUAGUUCUUCGGUUGGGAGUUUCCUUAAUCCUUUAUUUGCGUCGCUUUCUAGAGCAAGUUCUUCUAAUCCUGCCCUUUACGCGGACUCUUCUGACGAUGACUCUCCUGCUCAGUGGCCGUACCCACCGACUGGUAAACUCCAUGCUCAACGUGAUCCGUUUGCUUCACCGCGUUGGACUCCUCUUAUGGAUAUUCACUCUCCUGGUCUCCAUACUAUUGGUGAAUUAAUCUGCCUUUUCUCCAUCUUCUGUUGGUCAUCCUACCUAUAAUGCUGGCGAUUUUGAGGAUGGGUCGACUUUGUCUCUGCUUAUUGAUAACAUACCUGCUGCGCCAGCAUUGCCUUUACAUACAGGGUCUCGCAGGUUGCAUCCAGUUCAUGGUACCCCUUUUAUGCCUGCCCGUACAGCUACAUCGAUUCGUUGACUGCGUAUGCUCAUGCGACGCCAUCGUUCCUUCAUCAGAGCUGGUUAUCGUUUUACUGGCCGGUCUUCCUAUGUCUGAGCAGUUUGUUAACGUCCUCAAGCGUUCGUGGCCUAGCAGGUCAUAUUUCGGUGCUCCUCAUCAUGUGUGUAAGCGUUGUGGUGCUUCCUUCUGAUACCGAGAGCGGAAUAGGAAUCUCAGCACAGCAAAGAAAAUUGUCUAUACAGGUUGCCGUCGUGCUGGACUGCUGGGAAGGUGUCCCUCCCGGUUUAUCAAAAUUAGCCUUCUCCUUUAGCCGAGCUACUUCGUUUUGACGGUGACGCCCAGUGUGAUAAGUUCAUGCGUCUGAUUCGUGAAUACAAUUCAAUGUUUGCCUUCACAUCUCUCGGUGUUCAUGUUGACCGCAGUGUUAAUGUCGGCCCUGGUCCUUAUGUUUUCAAGAUAUGUGGAGUUGUUUGCCAUGAAAUUGGUUUU